CGGCGUGCCAAUACAUGCAAGUCGAACGAACUCUGGUAUUGAUUGGUGCUUGCAUCAUGAUUUACAUUUGAGUGAGUGGCGAACUGGUGAGUAACACGUGGGAAACCUGCCCAGAAGCGGGGGAUAACACCUGGAAACAGAUGCUAAUACCGCAUAACAACUUGGACCGCAUGGUCCGAGCUUGAAAGAUGGCUUCGGCUAUCACUUUUGGAUGGUCCCGCGGCGUAUUAGCUAGAUGGUGGGGUAACGGCUCACCAUGGCAAUGAUACGUAGCCGACCUGAGAGGGUAAUCGGCCACAUUGGGACUGAGACACGGCCCAAACUCCUACGGGAGGCAGCAGUAGGGAAUCUUCCACAAUGGACGAAAGUCUGAUGGAGCAACGCCGCGUGAGUGAAGAAGGGUUUCGGCUCGUAAAACUCUGUUGUUAAAGAAGAACAUAUCUGAGAGUAACUGUUCAGGUAUUGACGGUAUUUAACCAGAAAGCCACGGCUAACUACGUGCCAGCAGCCGCGGUAAUACGUAGGUGGCAAGCGUUGUCCGGAUUUAUUGGGCGUAAAGCGAGCGCAGGCGGUUUUUUAAGUCUGAUGUGAAAGCCUUCGGCUCAACCGAAGAAGUGCAUCGGAAACUGGGAAACUUGAGUGCAGAAGAGGACAGUGGAACUCCAUGUGUAGCGGUGAAAUGCGUAGAUAUAUGGAAGAACACCAGUGGCGAAGGCGGCUGUCUGGUCUGUAACUGACGCUGAGGCUCGAAAGUAUGGGUAGCAAACAGGAUUAGAUACCCUGGUAGUCCAUACCGUAAACGAUGAAUGCUAAGUGUUGGAGGGUUUCCGCCCUUCAGUGCUGCAGCUAACGCAUUAAGCAUUCCGCCUGGGGAGUACGGCCGCAAGGCUGAAACUCAAAGGAAUUGACGGGGGCCCGCACAAGCGGUGGAGCAUGUGGUUUAAUUCGAAGCUACGCGAAGAACCUUACCAGGUCUUGACAUACUAUGCAAAUCUAAGAGAUUAG
Molecule: ribosomal RNA, 1005 nt
Filed under: Lactiplantibacillus plantarum
Lineage: Bacteria; Bacillati; Bacillota; Bacilli; Lactobacillales; Lactobacillaceae
Description: bacterial SSU rRNA
Rfam family: Bacterial small subunit ribosomal RNA
Source: RNAcentral